CGGGAUGUAGCUCAGUCCGGUUAGAGUACACGUCUGGGGGGCGUGGGGCCCCGGGUUCAAAUCCCGGCAUCCCGA
This 75-nucleotide transfer RNA is filed under the name Cytophagales bacterium. RNAcentral describes it as "tRNA-Pro". It matches the Rfam family "tRNA". From Rfam's summary of the family: Transfer RNA (tRNA) molecules are approximately 80 nucleotides in length. RNAcentral also lists the same sequence under 2 other names. The record is from RNAcentral. Lineage: Bacteria; Pseudomonadati; Bacteroidota; Cytophagia; Cytophagales.